UUUCGGGGGCGAACUAGGAUCGACGAGGGCGUAAAGGAUGUUUCCGUCGCUCGGCAUGGUACCAUCGUUAUCGGGCCAUCUUUAUAGUUGCAAAUGACAACUAUGCGGAAGUAGCUGUCGCUGCGUAAGCAGUCACACGACUUCGUUUCAAGUCCACCGCCUUCGCCGGCGGUGGCGGGGUUCGGAAGGCACCUGGCAACAGAAGCCUUCCACU
RNAcentral lists this transfer-messenger RNA (214 nucleotides) under Rhodobiaceae bacterium. RNAcentral's name for it is "partial transfer-messenger RNA". It matches the Rfam family "Alphaproteobacteria transfer-messenger RNA", at positions 144 to 355 of the family's 355-position model. Rfam says of the family: Bacterial tmRNA, also known as 10Sa RNA or SsrA, is named for its dual tRNA and mRNA-like properties. Lineage: Bacteria; Pseudomonadati; Pseudomonadota; Alphaproteobacteria; Hyphomicrobiales; Rhodobiaceae. The record is from RNAcentral.